GACGAACCGUCCAACCGUUAUUCGGAAUCACUGGGCUUAAAGGGUGCGUAGGCGGCGCGGAAAGUUGGGUGUGAAAUCCCUCGGCUUAACCGAGGAACUGCGCCCAAAACUACCGUGCUUGAGGGAGAUAGAGGUGAGCGGAACUUAGGGUGGAGCGGUGAAAUGCGUUGAUAUCCUAAGGAACACCGGUGGCGAAAGCGGCUCACUGGAUCUCUUCUGACGCUGAGGCACGAAAGCUAGGGUAGCGAACGGG
This 253-nucleotide ribosomal RNA is filed under the name uncultured bacterium. RNAcentral describes it as "partial 16S ribosomal RNA". It matches the Rfam family "Bacterial small subunit ribosomal RNA", at positions 524 to 776 of the family's 1533-position model. The record is from RNAcentral.